ANAGNUGCAAUUGCNUCACUNCCAGAUGGACCUNCGUUGUAUUAGCUAGUUGGUGGGGUAACGGCUCACCAAGGGGACGAUACAUAGCCGACCUGAGAGGGUGAUCGGCCACACUGGGNCUGAGACACGGCCCAGACUCCUACGGGAGGCAGCAGUAGGGAAUCUUCGGCAAUGGACGGAAGUCUGACCGAGCAACGCCGCGUGAGUGAAGAAGGUUUUCGGAUCGUAAAGCUCUGUUGUAAGAGAAGAACGAGUGUGAGAGUGGAAAGUUCACACUGUGACGGUAUCUUACCAGAAAGGGACGGCUAACUACGUGCCAGCAGCCGCGGUAAUACGUAGGUCCCGAGCGUUGUCCGGAUUUAUUGGGCGUAAAGCGAGCGCAGGCGGUUAGAUAAGUCUGAAGUUAAAGGCUGUGGCUUAACCAUAGUACGCUUUGGAAACUGUUUAACUUGAGUGCAAGAGGGGAGAGUGGAAUUCCAUGUGUAGCGGUGAAAUGCGUAGAUAUAUGGAGGAACACCGGUGGCGAAAGCGGCUCUCUGGCUUGUAACUGACGCUGAGGCUCGAAAGCGUGGGGAGCAAACAGG
RNAcentral lists this ribosomal RNA (584 nucleotides) under uncultured Streptococcus sp. RNAcentral describes it as "bacterial SSU rRNA". It matches the Rfam family "Bacterial small subunit ribosomal RNA", at positions 202 to 776 of the family's 1533-position model. The record is from RNAcentral. Lineage: Bacteria; Bacillati; Bacillota; Bacilli; Lactobacillales; Streptococcaceae.